RNAcentral lists this ribosomal RNA (253 nucleotides) under uncultured bacterium. RNAcentral describes it as "partial 16S ribosomal RNA". It matches the Rfam family "Bacterial small subunit ribosomal RNA", at positions 524 to 776 of the family's 1533-position model. The record is from RNAcentral.
UACGAGUGCCCCAAGCGUUAUCCGGAAUCAUUGGGCGUAAAGGGUGUGUAGGUUGUUGUAUUAGUCUUCUGUCAAAAUACGGGGCUCAACCCCGGACCUGCAGAGGAAACGGUACGACUCGAGGAUGCGAGAGGUGAAUGGAACUCAUGGAGUAGGGGUGAAAUCCGUUGAUAUCAUGGGGAACACCAAAGGCGAAGGCAAUUCACUGGCGCAUUCCUGACACUGAGACACGAAAGCGUGGGUAGCGAACGGG